GCCCGAGUGGCGGAACUGGUAUACGCGCAUCACUUAAAAUGAUGUGGUCUAAACAACCAUGCCGGUUCGAUUCCGGCCUCGGGCACCA
RNAcentral lists this transfer RNA (88 nucleotides) under Candidatus Berkelbacteria bacterium CG10_big_fil_rev_8_21_14_0_10_41_12. Its description in RNAcentral is "tRNA-Leu". It matches the Rfam family "tRNA". Rfam says of the family: Transfer RNA (tRNA) molecules are approximately 80 nucleotides in length. Their secondary structure includes four short double-helical elements and three loops (D, anti-codon, and T loops). Lineage: Bacteria; Candidatus Berkelbacteria. The record is from RNAcentral.